CAGCCGCCGCGGGAAAACCAGCACCUCGAGUGGUCAGGAGGUUUAUUGGGCCUAAAGCAUCCGUAGCCGGUUGUUUAAGUUUUCGGUUAAAUCUAUGCGCUUAACGUAUAGGCUGCCGAAAAUACUGGACAGCUAGGGAGUGGGAGAGGUACACGGUACUCAAUAGGAAGGGGUAAAAUCCUUUGAUCUGUUGAUGACCACCUGUGGCGAAGGCGGUGUACCAGAACACGUUCGACGGUGAGGGAUGAAAGCUGGGGGAGCAAACCGGAUUAGAUACCCCCGUAGUCCCUGUCUCUUAUAC
This 301-nucleotide ribosomal RNA is filed under the name uncultured bacterium. Its description in RNAcentral is "partial 16S ribosomal RNA". It matches the Rfam family "Archaeal small subunit ribosomal RNA", at positions 459 to 760 of the family's 1478-position model. The record is from RNAcentral.